GGGGUAAACCUGCGAAACUCGAAUGAACGAACGGAGAGAUUCAUCGUCAUUCCGCGGCGUACGCGUGCGUGCGGGAUGUCUUCGGCCUCGGCCGUGGGCACCUCGCGUAUGCGUCGCGUCCGUGGACGGCGUGCACUUCUCUCUCAGUAACCAUGCAUCGCGACCCGUUCGAUGUCGGUCUAAGCGCCGUUCGGGAGCCCCGCCGUCCCUUCGCGGGGGCGACGGGACCGCGACGGACGCCGACCGGCCGUCGGACGGUAUAAAGAAUGAAACGCGCACGCGUUUAACGCGUCCGGCCCGACGCAAGUCGUCGUCGUAUCCGACGCUCCGCCCGAGUGCGGACGCCGGUGCGCCGCUUCUGCUGUCGCUGCCGUGCAGUCUCGGACCGUGCGCGUCUCCGUCUGCGAUGAUUCGGUUUCGGGCACUCGCAGGACCCGUCUUGAAACACGGACCAAGGAGUCUAGCAUGUAUGCGAGUCAUUGAGAUUUUACAAUAAACUGAAAGGCGCAACGAAAGUGAAGGCGUGCGCUCGUCGCGCGCUCAGGGAGGAUGGAGCCACGAUCUAGGUCGUACUCUCGCACUCCCGAGGCGUCUCGUUUCCAAUCCGUGAAUGCAGGCGCGCUC
RNAcentral lists this ribosomal RNA (624 nucleotides) under Lochmaeus bilineata. Its description in RNAcentral is "eukaryotic LSU rRNA". The record is from RNAcentral. Lineage: Eukaryota; Metazoa; Arthropoda; Insecta; Lepidoptera; Notodontidae.